AACCUACGGGAGGCAGCAGUGGGGAAUAUUGCACAAUGGGGGAAACCCUGAUGCAGCGACGCCGCGUGAGUGAAGAAGUAAUUCGUUACGUAAAGCUCUAUCAGCAGGGAAGAAAAUGACGGUACCUGAGUAAGAAGCCCCGGCUAACUACGUGCCAGCAGCCGCGGUAAUACGUAGGGGGCAAGCGUUAUCCGGAUUUACUGGGUGUAAAGGGAGCGUAGACGGUGCGCCAAGUCUGGAGUGAAAUGC
Molecule: ribosomal RNA, 249 nt
Filed under: uncultured bacterium
Lineage: Bacteria
Description: partial 16S ribosomal RNA
Rfam family: Bacterial small subunit ribosomal RNA
Source: RNAcentral